RNAcentral lists this ribosomal RNA (514 nucleotides) under uncultured bacterium. RNAcentral describes it as "partial 16S ribosomal RNA". It matches the Rfam family "Bacterial small subunit ribosomal RNA", at positions 28 to 523 of the family's 1533-position model. The record is from RNAcentral.
GAUGAACGCUGGCGGCGUGCCUAAUACAUGCAAGUCGAGCGAACAGAUGAGAAGCUUGCUUCUCUGAUGUUAGCGGCGGACGGGUGAGUAACACGUGGGUAACCUACCUAUAAGACUGGGAUAACUCCGGGAAACCGGGGCUAAUACCGGAUAAUAUUUUGAACCGCAUGGUUCAAUAGUGAAAGACGGUUUCGGCUGCCACUUAUAGAUGGACCCGCGCCGUAUUAGCUAGUUGGUAAGGUAACGGCUUACCAAGGCGACGAUACGUAGCCGACCUGAGAGGCUGAUCGGCCACACUGGAACUGAGACACGGUCCAGACUCCUACGGGAGGCAGCAGUAGGGAAUCUUCCGCAAUGGGCGAAAGCCUGACGGAGCAACGCCGCGUGAGUGAUGAAGGUCUUCGGAUCGUAAAACUCUGUUGUUAGGGAAGAACAAAUUUGUUAGUAACUGAACAAGUCUUGACGGUACCUAACCAGAAAGCCACGGCUAACUACGUGCCAGCAGCCGCGGUAA